GUGGGAGCAACCGAGCUUUCUUCUAAUCCGACGGCCGCAGGUUCGAAUCCUGCCGGGUGCACCA
Molecule: transfer RNA, 64 nt
Filed under: Nocardiopsis composta
Lineage: Bacteria; Bacillati; Actinomycetota; Actinomycetes; Streptosporangiales; Nocardiopsidaceae
Description: tRNA-OTHER
Source: RNAcentral